RNAcentral lists this ribosomal RNA (429 nucleotides) under Acidobacteriota bacterium. Its description in RNAcentral is "Acidobacteria bacterium partial 16S ribosomal RNA". It matches the Rfam family "Bacterial small subunit ribosomal RNA", at positions 355 to 776 of the family's 1533-position model. Lineage: Bacteria; Pseudomonadati; Acidobacteriota. The record is from RNAcentral.
UGGGGAAUUUUUGACAAUGGGGGAAACCCUGAUCCAGCCAUCCCGCGUGUGCGAUGAAGGCCUUCGGGUUGUAAAGCACUUUUGGCAGGAAAGAAACGUCAUGGGUUAAUACCCCGUGAAACUGACGGUACCAGCAGAAUAAGCACCGGCUAACUACGUGCCAGCAGCCGCGGUAAUACGUAGGGUGCAAGCGUUAAUCGGAAUUACUGGGCGUAAAGCGUGCGCAGGCGGUUCGGAAAGAAAGAUGUGAAAUCCCAGAGCUCAACUUUGGAACUGCAUUUUUAACUACCGGGCUAGAGUGUGUCAGAGGGAGGUGGAAUUCCGCGUGUAGCAGUGAAAUGCGUAGAUAUGCGGAGGAACACCGAUGGCGAAGGCAGCCUCCUGGGAUAACACUGACGCUCAUGCACGAAAGCGUGGGGAGCAAACAGG